GACGAACGCUGGCGGCGUGCUUAACACAUGCAAGUCGAACGGAAAGGCCCUGCUUUUGUAGGAUGCUCGAGUGGCGAACGGGUGAGUAACACGUGAGUAACCUGCCCUUGACUUUGGGAUAACUUCAGGAAACUGGGGCUAAUACCGGAUAGGAGCUCCUGCUGCAUGGUGGGGGUUGGAAAGUUUCGGCGGUUGGGGAUGGACUCGCGGCUUAUCAGCUUGUUGGUGGGGUAGUGGCUUACCAAGGCUUUGACGGGUAGCCGGCCUGAGAGGGUGACCGGCCACAUUGGGACUGAGAUACGGCCCAGACUCCUACGGGAGGCAGCAGUGGGGAAUAUUGCACAAUGGGCGGAAGCCUGAUGCAGCAACGCCGCGUGCGGGAUGACGGCCUUCGGGUUGUAAACCGCUUUCGCCUGUGACGAAGCGUGAGUGACGGUAAUGGGUAAAGAAGCACCGGCUAACUACGUG
This 468-nucleotide ribosomal RNA is filed under the name uncultured bacterium. Its description in RNAcentral is "partial 16S ribosomal RNA". It matches the Rfam family "Bacterial small subunit ribosomal RNA", at positions 28 to 507 of the family's 1533-position model. The record is from RNAcentral.